RNAcentral lists this long non-coding RNA (13089 nucleotides) under Equus caballus (horse). RNAcentral's name for it is "lncRNA (ENSECAG00000045885.1)". Lineage: Eukaryota; Metazoa; Chordata; Mammalia; Perissodactyla; Equidae. The record is from RNAcentral.
CCCACACCACAUGCAAAAGCACCAAAUCGGGAGAACAAAGCUGCUUGCCAUUGUUCACCUCAUUUUUGAUAAAAAUCAAAGAAGUGCAUGAAAUUGAAUUUUCAGGAAUUGCUCUAAAUCAAAUGGGUUUAGGCUGUCAUGAAUCUGGUUACUCGAUGCUCUAAAUGUCCAGAGAGCAUCGUGAAGGGGUUGAAACGUUUGCAUUUAAUGGUUAGGGGGAAUGUGCUAAACAAAAAUUACUUCUCAAACGAUGCCCAGGUCCUCCGCUAACAAUUCAACCUCCCCUGUUUCUUUUUUUUUGAAACAUUGUAAAAAGGAAGAGGUUCAUCUAACUAUAAAAGGAAAAAAAUGAAGGCACAUGAUUUUAUUCGGUCCCACAAUCCUUAAGAAAAAUGGUAUUUUGCAAGUGUGUAUGUGUGUGUGUGUAUGUGUGCGUGUGUGUAUGUGUGCGUGUGUGCGCACACACAUGAAAUGGGAGUCCAAGGGCCAUUGGGGCAGUGGUCCAAGGGAAGUUGGGAAAGAGAACAAGAGAGAAUUUUUAGACAGAGAGAAGAAAAGAGAAAGGAGGAAGUGGAGGCCUCUCUUCGGCUUUCUGUCAUCGACAGUCUCAGGAUUUGGCUGCUUUAGGGUCCAGAACGGAAUCGGUUUGACUUGGUCUAGAAAGCGCCCCCAGUUAAAUAUCUCCAGUUAAUCAUGUUACAGCUUUUGGUGUUUCCCUUUUCCCUUCCCCCCAGCCAAAUGAUUUUUCUUAAAAAAGCACAGUUUUCAAAAAUUAUUUUUUCAAUUUUGAAAAAAUAUGGAAAAGCUAUUUAACAGCCUGGGUUCCCUCUGCCUCUCCAUCUUCACAGUGAGCAGAUAGAUGGACAAUCCACAGAAUCAAAGACCAGGCGGGCAAGCUCCCUUGUGCUAGAUGGUCACUUGCCCUCCCCUCCCUAGGCUGGGGGUGCCUUCCCAGCACUCACAGCCAUUUCUUUCCACUGGCUCCCUCCUCCCCCCACCCCAUCCAUGGAAUGUUGGCUGCUGAGGAAGGCAAAGCCAUUCUGGAGCGCCAUGGUAACAGGAGGGGCUUAGAGGCCCAGGGUGGAGGGGAUGGGAGGGAGGCUUCUCCUCAGGCAGCCUAGCUGUGAGUUCUCUCUGGAGCCUGGCCCGCAGGGUAGGAGCACGGUUGCUCACUGAGAGGUUGAAGUCCCACUCACAUCUUACUCCAUGAGACCUCAACUCCCAGGCUCGCCACCUUCGUGCCUCUCUUUGCAUCACAGUUGGCCCCAGUCCUUAAGAAGGCAAUGAUCCAAGAUAGAGAGGCAGAGUCAACUGGCUGCGUCAUACAAAAAAGGGCUACGGACAGUGGGAUUUCAGAAACAAAUUGAACUUUGGUUUUCCAACUUUUUCAAACCAUAAAAAUUAAAGCAGGGCUUCAGUGGCUUCGAUCAUCUGACAGCUGUUAUAUUUGUCUCAUUUGGCAAGGCUAAGGCGGGGGGAAGAGAAAAGGGGUUUCCCAUAAUUGGUUGAAGACACAGGGUGGUAAAAUGCUUCCACACUUAAACUCACAGUCCAGUGUUUUUGACAUUUCAUAAAUAGCUUUUUUUCUCUAAAAAAAGAAUAAAACAAGAACAAUCCCUUUACUUACUCAUCUGAAACAAAAUAAACAGCAGUGGGUACAAACUUCUUCUUGUAACAAUUACAAAAAAAACAACAAUAUAAUCCCAACUUUUAACACGCAUCUUGAAUCAGUUAUUUUUUUUAACCUCAAAACUGCAGCAUAUCCUUAAGGGCAAACUUUUCGAUUAGUUUUUUUCUUUUUUUUUUUUAAAUAAUGUCUUCACCAAAAAAACAGUCUUGUACCAAUAAAAUGCAUUCAAAAAUAGAAAAUAUUACACAACAAAAAUAUGUAUCCUUCCUUUCCAAAAAAGGUUCUUCACAAAAAAAUGUAGAAAAAAUUCCAACAAUUUUUUUCCUCUCCUAAACAUUAGCUUUCAGUCUAGGGCACAAUUAUUUAUUGAUUUAAAUGUCUGUUUUUGCAUAAAACAUGGAAGAUGCAAAACAAUUACUGUAUUAGAUUGUGAAGUUACAGCCACUCCCACCCCAAUUCUAAAACAAAACAAACCCAGAAAAACCCAGCAAACACUGAACAAAUGAUACAGCCAGUUGGCUAGGAAAAAUCUAUGUCUUUCUUUGCACUGUGCAUUUGUGUGGGUUAACUGGCUCUCUUGGUAUCCAGGAAUGCUGAAGAAGGGAGACCAGGUCGGAGUCCAGAGGAUCUUUAGCAUUAGCUGAUGUUCCAAUAAGUCAUUUUCAGUCUCCCAUUUUGCAGGUCAAUCCGCUGCCACUCCUCACGGAGAAGAGAAACACGUGAGGUGGUAUACGGGCAGAGGACUAAACCAUGUCCAUGUGUGUACUGUACACAUACCUCUGUACAAGCCACUUUCUCAACCAUAGCACAUCAUUUUUUUUCCUUCAAAAUGGAGCUCAAGCAUUGAAUGAAAGGUAAUGGAGAGCUCCAGUGGGAUGAGGAAGGCUGGGGUUAUUUUCUCCAUAGCAGCCUCUCCCACGUUGAAGCUGUUUGGGCAUGAAUUGGAACAACGACAAGAUCUCAGAUCUCAAAGGAAUGCCCUAUUUUCCCCAUCCCCAUGGAACCCAGGUUUCUUUUAUGGUUUCAGCAUUGUAGCUGAAAUAAUAUAUUUUUCUUAUUUAAUGGUAUUUCUCUUUCAUGUGGGAUGUAUUUUGUAGCUUUUUUUUCCUGUGGCUUGUUUGGUUGCUGGUUUUUUCUUUGUGGUUUUUGUUUUGUUUUGUUUCUGAAUUUUUAAACAGUGAAAUGUGUCCAAUUUUAUUUCCAGUGCAUUAAACAAAUUUUAAAUUAAAAGAAGAAAUAAAACGUUUCCCCCCAUCCUUCUAAAGGAAAUGACUGAUAAAAGUACAAUAUAAUAAAAAUCAGGCAUUGCCAAAAAUAGCAUGAUGUGCAACCUCAAUGACAUUAGAGAAAAACAAACAGACAAACAAGAAUUAUAGAACAUAAGCAUGAAGGAGCCAAGACAACAUAAUCCCAACGAUGGUAUGAUUGACAAGCACUGGUUAAAAAAUAGGUAAGGCUACUCUUAGAUUUCUAACUCAACAUAGUUAACCACUGCUCUUCUGUCUUUUCCUUCAACUCUUAAUCUUUUACUCACUAGUUCUUUAUAUCUUUAAAAUGAACAAAUUUGUUUUUAUAUUUUUGGUCUACAGUAGAAUUACAUAUUCAUAAUAUAACAAAAAGAUAUUUCAUUGACAGGUUGGUACUGCAUCCAUGUGGGGAAAAUAGAAAAAAAGGACUCAAAUAGACAUAGCAAAUGGAUUCUAUUCUUAUAAAAAUAAUCACAAAUAUAAUAGAAAUUAAAAUCAGGGCAACAGAUUAAACUGAAAACGGGUGUAGAAAGGUACAUUUUGGAUAAUACAAACUCCUGACAAGCUAUGCCCUAGAAAUGCAGCCUCCAAGUCUUUCCCAAGAUUUCCACCUUUGCGUAGCAUCACUCAAAAUUCAAAUGGAAAUGGAAACACAAUGAAAAUAAGGAGAACAGAUGGUUGAGCCAGCCAAAGCUCCCAAGUUAUCUUAGUUGACUGGUUAAGACCAGGUGGACAGCAUUCGAGAAACUGGGAGGCCGCAGGGGAGCUGCUGAUGGUAUCUGGUUUUAAUUUUGGAGGAGUUCCCAGCCCACUGAUAAAGAGAGAAACCAAGGAAUCAAAUAAUUCUUCUGGUCACAUACAAUAUAUGAGAUGAAAUGUAAUUCUGAUAGACAGGACAUGGUGGUGUGGUGGGAAAGAGAAGAGAGAGGAGAGAUAGGCAAACUUCAGGCACCACCUCCUUUGUUUUCUUCAACAUAUUGGUUUCCUUCUUUUUCUGAGCAUCCUUCAGGAUUAGCUACAGGCCCCCGUGUCCUCUCAGCAAAUAUGUGUCAGCUCAGCUCUCAAUCUGAUAUCUAUGCCUAUUGGCCUUCCUAAAGGCUAGGUGGCUUUGGAGGAUCCCCGCCCCCCACUGUCCUGUGCCCUUGAUGAAGCAGAGGAGGUGUGCAAAGUUGUAACGACAGAGGCCCUUUACAUUAACCAGCCCUAAUCUGAUGAUUAAAUCACACUGAUGGUUCAGUGUGGAAAAAAGUGAAGGAAAAUAAUUGGUAAGAGUUGAGCUUGGUAAUCAAGAAGUAUGAAGUUUUCUUCUAGAAAAAAAAAGAAGAAGAAGAAGAAAAAGAAUGACAUCAGUCAGAAAAUACUGCUUUUGGUUUCUUUUAACUUCAAACCAUCCUUGGUUUUUCUCUCAUUCAGUUGCUCCAGUUUAAAGUAUAGAAUCUAGUGCAAAUAUCAUCAAAUCACAGCAUUCCAGGAGCAAUAUCCUAUUCCUUCAUCCUAACUGAAUACUAUCCCUUGAGACCUCCUCAGAAGACUGAGGGCAAUGGUCCAGCAAAGCAUAACCUAAUAAAUGAUUAAUCUAAUACUCGCUACAACAAGGAAGGCACUAUCAAAACAGAUCAGCCUCGAGCAUUUUCCUGGGCAUGGGCAUGGACAUUUUAACCACUCGAGGGACCACAACGAGACCCAGACUGUGGCUUUUUCAGUACUGGAAUUCACUGGCCAGUUUUCUGACACCCCCACUGGCCACUGCUGCUGGUUCUGGCCAUGCAGAGCACCGAUCUGCUCCGCGUCCAUGUUGCCCCACGUUUCACCAGUGAUCCUUGUUUGGUUCUAAAUGAUUGAGCUCACUCUCUUCCAUGGAAGUUUCUUUCUCUCCAUCAGUCUCCAGGUCAUGACUCAACUGAAGACUAGUUUACAGUGUCAAGUACUAUUGUAUACUUUUUUCCUAUUUUUUGAACCUCUGACCAAACCCUUAGCCAUAAAGACAGUUCAGUAGCUCCUCUAAUAACCAGUCUCCUGUAAAUAUCACUGUGAAAAAAUGAAUUCAAACAGAUCCCUUGAGCCUGCUGUAUUACUUUCAUCCGGGAGAGAGCAAGUUGGGCUCAUGAGACUAAAAUCUUUGGUGACAAAACUGGAGUGGGUAUGCAAGUUUCAAGGAAGAAGUUGUUUUCCCAAAACCUCAAGAGAAGUAUUCUAGGAGAGUUAAUGUGAAUAUAUUUUAAAAGGUCAAUUAUUCCUUUCUGUAACUUUGGUUUGGUGCAGUCAACACCCUCUUAGUGCUUACCCAAUGCACAUCUCUAAGUACCUGUUAAGAGCUUUGAAUUUAGAGUUUCUUAUUUAAAACGAAGAUAAUGCUUUGAGUGCUUAAAGGAUUGCUUAUGUUAGUUCCAAAAGCUUUAAAUGGGGUUUUUCUGACUACCAAGGCUGACAGCUUCCUUAAAAAAUUUUUAACUUGAAAUAGUAGACUUGGAUGGAUGCUAAGGAGGAGAGAGAAAGAGAUAGGAAUCAAUGUCGUAAUCUUAGGAAAGAGGCCUCAACUGAGAGUUUUCCAAACUGACGCCUCCACAUGAGAUAGUGUUCAGAGAAAUUCAACAUUAGCCAUUUAUAUGGGUUGUGACCCUUUCCAACUGAACCAGAAUCUUCAAAGCUGUCACCCUGGAUUCUGAAAGUGUCCUUCAGCAUCUUCACUCUUGUGUGAUUAUUCCCUAUACAAUCUAUUGCUUUUCCUGUGGUGCAACUAUUCUUUUAUGAAUAAUCACUAAAGAGCUGUCAAACUCUAAUUACUUCUAAAAUUAAAAAGGGCAAUAAAAGUGAAUCCAAAAAGGAAAGUUGGAAAAAAUCCAACAACCUCAGAACUAAACUUUUAGGCACUGUUAAGGUCUUCUGCUUGAUAAAGGACAGUCUAUGAUGGAGCAGCUACUAAGUAGGUUCUGAUCAAUCUUCCAAUGCUUCCUCCAAUUUCAAAGUUGGUCUAGCUUGUUUCAAAAUAAACCUUUCACCUCACUGGUUUUCAGUGUUUAUUGCACUGUUCCCUUACUGUCAUCUUAAAGGAUUUCACCACAUGCAUGGCCUUCCUCUUUGGUUAGCCUGAUCUAGGUUUCACCCAGGGAUGGAGAAGCAUGCUCAGGCUGAAAGGGUAUCUCCAAUAUGGACAAGAUUACGUUCUUUUGAGGGGAGGACAUACCACUGUCCUCUGCCACAUCGGAAUGUGCAUCAGCAAGGGCUUUGUGGUGUAGGCCAAGGCAAAGACUGCCAUGUCACCUCGGUUGGCUUCCUCACCAUUGCAGCUCUUACCGAAAGCUUACUUGGAGACAACAUUGAGCAAACUUCUAAAAAGUUUUCUAUUUACUGUACUAACCCAGGUUCUUUAUAAUAAGAAAACAGAUCCUGUCAGCAUGGCAGUUUCUAGGCUUGAUUAAGAGUUGGCAGAUUCCACGAUUCCCACCAACCCUGCUAAGACCAAGCAUGAUGGAAUUAACCCUCCAUUUUUGCGAUGCUUCUAGUUUCAUAACUUGCUUCUUUCUUUCUCAUAACUCACACACUCUCUCCCAGCACAAGUAAAUACAUUUCAGUAGUGCAAUGCAGUGCAGUCAUACUUAGUGCAAAAAAAAAAAAAAAAAAAAAAAAAAGCCCUAUUACAGACCCAAGCUCAACCCUAAACAGCUCUUACUAAAGGUUACCAGUGCCACAAAAGUGGGAAAUUCAGUCUUUCGCUCACUUUCCGUGAGUCAUCUCUUUUGUUGCCCCUGUUUGUUUCAGCUCAAAGGAGAGAAACUACUAGCAUGCACCUAUGUAUUAUUCUGGAAAAUGUUAAGCCAAUGGGCAGAAAAUACAGGGAAGUAGUUGAGUUGAAACCAGGGGUAGUAUUUAGAAGAGGAAGAUAGUUAUUUAAUGCAAAAGUCAGUAGUGGUUUUUACUGAAUGGUUUUCAUCAUGUCAAAUGGCUCCGAUGCUAAAGGGAAUGGGUACAGAAAAAGAUAAAGCUUCCUGUUUCCCCAAACACAGUCCUAAAUUUAACAGUGCUGGGCUCUUAUUUCUGAAUAGUGCAAUUAGCUAUUCCUCGAGGGCCUCAGGCAGCCGCCACCUUACCUAACAUAAAUAGGGACACUAAGAGCUCUCGCUUUUUCACAUUGACUCCCUUCCCCCUCACCUCAUUUCUCUCCUAUCCACUUUUUUUUUCUGACUAAACAUAAAUACAUAUCUACAUACACAUACACAGAAAUUCUCAAGGCCCCUCUCAGGAUGGUAGAUUGAAAAUUGGUACAAAUAACUCAAUGACACAUUCACACAAAAAGUACAAUUAUUAAAUAUAAAAGUGAAUUAUUACACCAAAAUUAAGAGUCUGCAUUGUACCUCUUCUUGUAUUAUUCUGUAAGAAAAAACAUUCAUAGUAGAAUAUCUUUUGGAGCUUACUUCUCGCUUCAGAUUAACCUAGAAUUAGUUUGGGAUAUGGAAGUACUGAAUGAUUCUGGAGAAAUGCUUUGCAUUUGAUAAUCCUCAAGAAUCCGUCUGUUCAGUUUGUCUGGAUCUCGACUCUCCAAAUCUAAGUCUGCAUGUCUGCUCACACCCACACCUGCACGCUGGAAGUCUCAGGAGAAUCAAUGUGUGGUUUAGAAUAGUUUAUAAAAGCAAAGGUGUUUGGCAUAGUGGGGUCAGCACAUUCAAAUGACUUUAAAACAUCAAGUUACCAGAGAUUUUCCCUAUACCAUCAACUUCUUGCCUUUGCUUGCCACGAUGAGGAUUAUUCAGAGACUGCUAACAUUGACUCUGAAAUCACCAUUCUCUCAACAAUAGUGCAAAAAAUAAUUUUAAUUAGAUAUGUGAAAGUUACCCUUAUUUUCUAUCUCAAUAGAUCCCUCAGGGAAACUGAGGCUCAGAUCCAUGGGACUGAGGAAGGGGUCCCACUGCUGAGAAUGCCUUGGAGAAUUUUCUCCUCACAAGUCUACAUACGGAUGGCUCCAAACCAAAGGUUAUCCCAAGGAGAGCAGGAGCAGAGUAAAUAGCCUUAUUUUUAAGAACCCACUGGCAGUGAACACACACAGAGCACUUGAGACUAUGUCUAACUCUUCUAUCAAAUUGGAACCAUUAUUUUGUUUUGAGUUCUCUCUCUGCAUAUGCCCUGGAGAACAGAUUAGGUAGAGGAGCAGUCAAGGGUGUCUACAAUUUCUCUACACGGGUUUGAUAGUAUUAAGAGAAGUCUUAAAUCAAGAAGAAGUGAGGUUAUCUCACUAAUUCUUAGGACUCUAAUAGGAGAGAUUGGCAAGAAUGACAGAGAGUGAGUGGUGUUAACUUUCCCUGGGAACGCUAAGAACUGGCUUUAGGAAGCCAGAACUGCAUCAGAUUUAAUUCCAUCACAAUGCCCUGUGUCCCCACCCUGCACCUUUGCUUUUUCUCUGUUCACUUAACUGAAAUCAAUUAUUUUAAAGGUUGAGCUAAGAAUGCAAAUUAUAGCACAAAAGGCAGGUUAGAAAAAGGCAGGCUAUCUGUAAAUUGAAUUGAAAAUAGUAUACAUUCAAAGGAAGCACUACAACUUCUUUUUAUUUAAAACGUUUCUAAUUUGGUUUUUCCUUCUUUUGUGGUGGUGGGGUAUGGAUGGUGCUGGUAAUGUAGUGCCACUCUCCCUCUGCGACCAUCACCUCCAGCACCAGGUGGGGGAGAUGAGAAGUAAUGGAGAAAUGGAUGUUUCUCUAUUUAAGACUUCAUGAACACAUACCAUUUUGAAAUGAAUAGAAAUCUGAACAAUUAUAAAAAUCUAUAGAUCGAUUGAUUAUGGCAUAUUAGUAGCAUCCAUUCUUUUUCUAUUCUAGGUAUUCUGCACUAGAUACUAAGAAACAUCCGAAGAGAAUUUUCAUUAAACUAAUUUAUUCCCAGCCUCAUUCCAGAAAUUUGAGGAGGCAAUAGAGAUCUGUAGUGUAAAAUGCAUGACCUUCAGCUGCAAUCAAUUCUCCAUUCUUUGGCCCCAGAGCUGAUAGUUUAGGUAAAUGGAGUUUCUUUCUCAAGGAAUAGUUUUUACUUUAACUAUUCUACCCUCAAAGUGCAGAGAGAAUUUGUCUCCUCAAAACUCAAGUGCUACUAUAAAAGGAAGAUACAAUUUUCAUAGAGAAGAGACUCAUUAAUGGUAUAACAGAAGGCGUUCAUUCUAAGAAGGAAACGAGUACGUCAGGGUGGGCAGGCAUUUGACUGAUGCCUAUGGCCAUGGACAGUAUCAAAUUAAAAAAUCAAAAUCUUUGACUAUUUUGAGAAGAAAGAGAUAAAGAACAAACAAAUGAACAAACAAACUUUACUAAAAUACACAUUCCUCCAGUUUCAGCUUUCUAAAAAUUAAUAAUUACGCUUAAACCAAGGUUUACAGAUAGCAAACAACUGUUUUAAUGUGUAAAAGUAUUAUCCCUUUGCUUUACUAUGUUAGUUUCACUUUCUUUGAAGGAAUUGCAUCUGUGCACACUUGUCCUAAAGUCCAGUGCAGAAAAUAAGCUGGGUUGUCACCAGCCUCAAUCUCAGAACAUUUCCUAAACUAUAUUUGCAAAUCCUAAAACUAUAUAUCUGUAAAAUGAGAUGCAGACUUUCUGAAAUGCAUUGUGGUGGGGGUGGGGGAAGCAAGCUUUUUAUGGAGAAAAGAAGAAAGAAAUCCAUUCCUAUCCUCCCAAAUACAUACUAUGUUUCUGACCAUUAUUUUGCUGCAUUAGUUACUGUUAGGGCUAUUGGUGCUCCUGACAGGUGUCAGCCUGGAAAAGCAGGAGGCUCAUAAAUAACAAGAAAUUCAGACCCUGGAGUCUCUAGAAUAUUAAACAGGAUUUAGACAUUUGUCUAGACUAAUAUAGAGGUUGUGGUGAGAAAUUUUGGGUCUCAGGGUUAGAAGCCUUCUUGGAGAACUAGAAGGAACAAUGUCAAGAAGGCAUCCUGGAGAAAUCCUCAUGAUUAACUGGACCAAAUGGGACCUAGCAGAAUCAGGUCCCCUCCUACUCCACAUUAUACUAUAAAUGAUAGUAUUUAGGACUUAAAAGAGAGUCUUUUAUUCUUGCAGAAGCCAAUGGCUGAGGAGAAGAGUACUUUAGAUGAAGAGUACUUUAAAGAAAGAUAGAGGGAAUCAGAAUGGACAAAGGAAGAGGAGACGGGAUUGACUGGGAGAGUAUGCCAAGUGAAGAUCACAGUCUUAAGCAACAUAAACGCUGGCUUUACAAAUUGUUGGUUCCCUGCUAGAUGUGGGACUCAGCAAGGCUUUUGAACCUUCUCUUUAUUUCAUUGCUCUCUAUGGUGUGAGUUGAUGGUAUAAACUGGUCUGCUUAAGACAAAAGCUGGGUCAAGCCUCAAGUCAAAUGGGAAUACAUUUCUGACGUCAAAUGUUGAUUCUGUUUGUCAAUGGGUAAAGCGAGAAGUGGAAGCACAUCCCUGCACGCUCAAAACCAGGUAGUACUGUAAAUGUCACAGACUUUGUCUUCAUAAGAGACCGGAGGCAAUGCGGUAUCAUGGCAAGAGGGUUGGACUGGAAGUCAGAGAAGCCUGUGUUACAGAGUUGUUGUGAAGAUAUCAUUAUGCACAUCCCGUAAAGGGACAGAUCCAGAAUAGUAGUGGUCUUUUGGGCAAUGCUCUGGUGACCAGACAGUUGCAGCUCAUUGGAAUGAGAUCCAGCAUGAUGACCAAAUGAUAUGGUGAGUAUUUAGGUACUGGGGAAUGUAUAUAGGACACUUCAAGUAUCUAUUCAUCCUUAUUAUUAUUUCAUUUAAACAUAUAUUAAGUUUAUGUUUAAAAAAUAGCUGGUUGCAAAAUAGACACUUUAAAAACUUUAUGGAUCUUUUCAUCCUUUAGCAAAUUACUGCUCAAAGUUCUAAACUAAUCAACAAUUUUUCAAAAAGAUAAAUAAAAAAAAAUUCUUCCUAAUUGUCUCUUACAUUGUGUUUGAGUUCAAGUGGCUUUACUUGUUUCAGCAGAGCUCACUAAGGCUUGAGCAGUUAUCAAAACUAUUUUGAAAUGUUACCCCUUUUGUUAGAUUUCUGUAAAUCUAGUAUCUAGUACAUACCAUGUCAUUUGGCUAAAUAUUAGCAGGAGUUGAAAUAGUCAAGAUUGAUGAUUUUUUUUCCUCCCUCAGAAAUUGUCUACUCAUCUCAGGAAUUUAACCACUACGGUAUUUAAAGAAAAAAAAAAAACCCAGAAAAUAUUUUUCUCUUUAUCUUUGGCCAGACGUGAAGGUGAAAGGAAUUAAUGACCUCAGCUAGUACAGCUGACAUUUACAAUUGUGACUCAGGUCCUCCCACUCUCAAAAGAAUAUUGAUAACUUUUAAAAUCUGAAGGUACAGUGAGGAUACGCUUCACUCUGCCUAUGAGUCUCAAGUUGCUGGACUCACGUCAACGCUCUGUAACUACAUAAAGCUUAAAGAGGAACAUUCAGAAUGGGGUGGGGGAAGGAAGGGAAAUGAGCAUUCAGGGGUCAUCAUUAUGAGAGUUCUUUGGGCAGUAAUGAGAAGAAGAGGUAAUUUAAAAUAGUCUUAAAGAGAAACAAGAGAUAAAGAGAAAGGAUUAGGAAAAGGAAAAUAACGAAGUUGAUAAAAUUCGGGUAUGAUGUAAUCAUUGGAAAAGGAAAAGCCUCACUAACUCUCAAUUCACGAUUAUGUUCAUUUAGUAGAAACAUAUUUAGUUGAAAACUUUGGAGAAAGAGAUUGAUAAUCUUGCUAUUAGACUGUCUAUGAGCCUCUUCAAAGUAGACUAGAGUAGGUAGUUGCUUGCUGAGUACCAGGCUUCACAAGAGGAGGGCAUGGAGGGGAGCUUGGCUAAGGGGGGUGGGGAAAGACUUGUGGAAGGGCAUGGCAGACAGGGAUGGGAGUCAAAAAUAAAAAUCUAUUAGGAAAGAUGAAGGGAAGGAAUGGGUGUUAUUCACACUGAGAAGACGAUGUUGGUCCAGUGUGGGAAGGGGUUUCACACUAGGUAUUAAGAACAGCUAUUUCCAUUUUGCCCUGAAUGCAGAACCGAUGGAACGAGACUGGUUUCAGGCACCCAGGAUAGAUGUAAAGUUUAUCCAGCUGUGGGGUUUUCCAGGCAUUGGGUUGAGUAGUUGAGGGAAGCUGAAGAAGCUCUCUAUCUGAAAAUACUAGCUGAAGUAUUUCUUGUUAGGAAGACAGGAUGCCUAAUUUCUGAAGGUUCCAUGAUGGCCUGGUGAAGAAGAAAGGCACCAAAUCCCCACUUGAACAGACAAAUGGAGAUACUGAGGGCCGAAUACCCAAGAGCCGCCAUUUUAUGGAUUCUGCAGACUUAAAAAUGAGAUAAAUAUUUCUGAGUUCUAUUUCUAUCAACUUCUGUCAUGAGAAAGUUCCUCAAAUUCUGGUUUUAUUAACAAAAAAACCUCCUAGGAAAAUGAACACCAUAUUGCUGCCUCCAGGGAAGCAUCGAAGACUAGCUAAAAUAAUUAUGAGUAUACUGAAAACAAAGUAGUCAGUAAAGAAUCAGAAUUUUAAAAAAUCAAUGUUUGAAAACACAGUUGGGACAACUAGGCAUUUCGCUGCUUUGUGCUUCUCAGGUGAGCAGCCCUCCGAAAUGCAGCCUGCAAUUGUUGGUCAGAUCAUAUGGAGGUUAAGCGGCCCCCUGGUCAUAUUUUUAAAAGCAAAUAUAGACAGUGACAGUCCUAGAGGGGAAAAUCACAGAUACAUUCAUAUGCACUUCUUUUGUUCUUCAGAUAUCGAGAGGGUCAGCUAAACAAAAUCACUUUGAACAUGAACCUCUUUGUAUCAGCCACACCAAAAAAAAGUUUUCUUAAAAAAAGUUUUCACUUUCCUACAUUUGCUAAGUCUGAGCUUAAAAAAAAAAAAAAAAAUCUAAAAUCCUGUAAAGACAAUACCGAAGCUGAUAAUAUAAAAAGCAAGCUAGAGCAGUAAUGAUUAGUACUAAAUGCACCAGGUUAACUGCAGCAGGUUUGUGACGGGUGAUAAAUGCAAAGAAACAAUGUUUCAAUCAACUCAUGAUCAUAGGCAGAUUCAAAAGUUAAAAUGAAUAUAAUGUAAUAUAUAUUUCAAUAUAGAGUUGUUAUAUAUAAUGUGUAUGUUCUAGGUUUCAGAAAUACUGCAAUGUAGUGUACUGUACUUAAGUAAGCAUACCUAAAUUGUAACUCAUAUUCUUCCACAGUCACUAGUACUGUUAAUGAAAAAAAACAGCUCAUUUUUUUCCAGUAAAAAGAAAUACCUAUGGUUACAGUCACAGACUUCUUUUGGAUAUAGAAAGACAAUAU